CUUGUUUCUCUCACAAGAGGACCCGUGUUUGUUUGGAUAGAUUUAGGGAAAUUAUCGAAAAACAUGUUACAGUGUCGUUGCUAAGUUACUUAUAAUCGUACCACAAGAACCCGAGGAGGAUAUAACUAGUAUUUUGUCUCAACAUCUUUUUUGUCUCAAUAUCUUUUUCUCAACCUUAUGUGAAAGCGCUGUGGAAUAACUGUCAAAACUCAUUGAAAAAAUAAACAGAAGAAACGAAGAAACAUCAACGUAAGUUCAAAGCUGUCCGACUAAUUUCAUGAAUUGUAACAUGUUGUCCAUUCCAUUGACGACCGUUACACCAACCAAUGGAAUUUCGAGUGCCGACGUCAACGACCCGGAUGUAAAACCACGAGAGGAAUAACCGGUAAUAACAUGCAGCCGCCACUAGAUGGUGACAGAAUAUAAGCAAGUCAAUGGAGUCAAGUGAAGCAAAAUCUCAUUUUCCAGCUCUGGGUCAAGACCUUCAUAACGCUGUUUCCUCAGUCAGAAUGGGCCAUGCAGAUUUCCCUGUGAGAGAAAGGGCGAUUGAGUCUCCAGCUGCCAUCACACAAAAACAUCUUCACAGGCAUGCGGCAGCAGCAACCGUGUUUAUCUUCUGGAAAAUGGGAUGGCAAGCCAAUCAGUGAAUGUAUGUCUUGGGCACCAGUGAGAUUGAAUAAUUGAACAGGAGGCAUACAGACAUGACAACUUUUCUUUGAUAGACAGUGACAAGUCUUCUACCAAUGGGAAAGACAGCGAGUAUCUGGGAGCUGUCGUGGACACCUCUCUCGUCUCUCCUGGUGUGAAUGUAGCAAGAUUCCUGCAGCUGAUCGCGGCUCUUCUGAUGACAGGUUGAAAUGAAGUUGAAUUGAAAUCCAAAUGAAGCCGUCUCAGCGCUGCCACAAUGAUAUACAAGCAUUCUUGUGGCAUGUUUAACUAUUUGGAUCAAAUGUUCAAAUGGUCACACCUGGGAGAGCUGCAGCCUGGCCUGGGCUAUGAGAGGCUGUUGACAGCUUGAUUGGAGCUAUCUGUGCUGAGGACUGGGUCUGGUGCAGGGUGUUAAAGGCAAUGGGUGAUGCAGAAACCCUUCAGCAGGACAGAGGUGUGUGUCUAUAAUAUUAAUAGGAGAUCAUACAUUUUUGGACAUACUUAACAUUUUUGAACUUUUUAUUGCAAAAAUACAAUAUUGUAUAGCUGUUGUUUUUACCAAUAAA
Molecule: non-coding RNA, 1214 nt
Organism: Pimephales promelas (fathead minnow)
Lineage: Eukaryota; Metazoa; Chordata; Actinopteri; Cypriniformes; Leuciscidae
Source: RefSeq, a predicted model, not a curated record